Melitaea cinxia (Glanville fritillary) is the source of this 455-nucleotide long non-coding RNA. RefSeq lists it as uncharacterized. Lineage: Eukaryota; Metazoa; Arthropoda; Insecta; Lepidoptera; Nymphalidae. The transcript is spliced from 2 exons. The record is from RefSeq and is a predicted model, not a curated record.
UUAGUUGUAUUUAUAAAUGUAAAAUCUUAUAACUCUAUAAACAUAAAGAAUAUUGAAUGCAUGUGAACAAAAAACAAUUAUAAUUUUAGAGAAUUUUUUAGUACUAAAAACUAGUGUUCGAAUUUUGUCCCAAACAUUUUUGAACAGUCCUCUGUCACAAUUUGAAUAUCGCGCCACAAAAAUAUUAAACACUAUUGUGGUUACAUUUCGCGUGAAACAGAACGUUAACAGUGUGAAGUUUUCUUGGUCGUCAUGCUAAAGAAGUCGCCGCCAUUUAGCGCAGUGACAACUCCGCGUCUGUGUGAGAGCCACGUCUCUGCAAUGUUGAGUAAACAUUCCUCUGUAUUGCCGCAAUGCCCCCAAAGAAGAAACCUAAAACUAAGAAGAAAUAAAAGAGCACAACAAAAUUGCAGAAAGAUUAAGAUAUCAACGGCUAAAAAAUUACCCUGUAAAAA